UAUCCUCUGAAUAAGCCUCGGCGAACUACGUGCCAGCAGCCGCGGUAAAACGUAGGAGGCUAGCGUUAUCCGGAUUUAUUGGGCGUAAAGCGCGUGCAGGCGGUUUACCAAGUUGGAUGUGAAAGCUCCUGGCUUAACUGGGAGAGGUCGUUCAAAACUGAUAGACUAGAGAAUGGUAGAGGGAGGUGGAAUUCCGGGUGUAGUGGUGAAGUGCGUAGAUAUCCGGAGGAACACCAGUGGCGAAAGCGGCCUCCUGGGCCAUUUCUGACGCUAAGACGCGAAAGCUAGGGUAGCAAACGGGAUUAGAGACCCCGGUAGUCCUAGCCGUAAACGAUGUGGACUUGGCGUUGGCGGAGUUAAAUCUGCCAGUGCCGUAGCUAACGCGAUAAGUCCACCGCCUGGGGACUACGACCGCAAGGUUAAAACUCAAAGGAAUUGACGGGGACCCGCACAAGCAGCGGAGCGUGUGGUUUAAUUCGAUGCUACACGAAGAACCUUACCAAGGUUUGACAUGUAAGUGGUAGUGAUCUGAAAAGUGAACGACCCUUCGGGGAGCUUACACAGGUGCUGCAUGGCUGUCGUCAGCUCGUGUCGUGAGAUGUUCGGUUAAGUCCGCUAACGAGCGCAACCCUCACUGUGUGUUACAAGUGUCACACGGGACUGCCGGUUCUAAGCCGGAGGAAGGCGAGGAUGACGUCAAGUCAGCAUGGCCUUUAUAUCUUGGGCUACACACACGCUACAAUGGUCUGUACAAUAGGUUGCCAAGCCGCGAGGCGGAGCCAAUCCUAAAAGCAGGCCUCAGUUCAGAUUGCAGGCUGCAACCCGCCUGCAUGAAGAUGGAGUUGCUAGUAACCGCAGGUCAGCUAUACUGCGGUGAAUACGUUCCCGGGUCUUGCAUACACCGCCCGU
Molecule: ribosomal RNA, 909 nt
Filed under: uncultured bacterium
Lineage: Bacteria
Description: bacterial SSU rRNA
Rfam family: Bacterial small subunit ribosomal RNA
Source: RNAcentral